This 362-nucleotide ribosomal RNA is filed under the name uncultured bacterium. Its description in RNAcentral is "bacterial SSU rRNA". It matches the Rfam family "Bacterial small subunit ribosomal RNA", at positions 152 to 507 of the family's 1533-position model. The record is from RNAcentral.
CGAAAGUUACGCUAAUACCGCAUAUUCUGUGAGCAGGAAAGCAGGGGGAUCGCAAGACCUUGCGCUGAUUGAGCGGCCGAUAUCAGAUUAGCUAGUUGGUGAGGUAAAGGCUCACCAAGGCGACGAUCUGUAGCGGGUCUGAGAGGAUGAUCCGCCACACUGGAACUGAGACACGGUCCAGACUCCUACGGGAGGCAGCAGGUGGGGAAUUUUGGACAAUGGGGGCAACCCUGAUCCAGCCAUGCCGCGUGAGUGAAGAAGGCCUUCGGGUUGUAAAGCUCUUUCGGCCGGGAAGAAAUCGCAUGGGCUAAUACCCUGUGCGGAUGACGGUACCGGCAUAAGAAGCACCGGCUAACUACGUG